This 433-nucleotide ribosomal RNA is filed under the name uncultured bacterium. RNAcentral's name for it is "partial 16S ribosomal RNA". It matches the Rfam family "Bacterial small subunit ribosomal RNA", at positions 29 to 507 of the family's 1533-position model. The record is from RNAcentral.
AACGAACGCUGGCGGCAUGCCUAACACAUGCCAGUCGAACGAGACCUUCGGGUCUAGUGGCGCACGGGUGCGUAACGCGUGGGAACCUGCCCUUAGGUUCGGAAUAACUCCCCGAAAGGGGUGCUAAUACCGGAUAAUGUCUUCGGACCAAAGAUUUAUCGCCUUUGGAUGGGCCCGCGUUGGAUUAGCUAGUUGGUAGGGUAAAAGCCUACCAAGGCGACGAUCCAUAGCUGGUCUGAGAGGAUGAUCAGCCACACUGGGACUGAGACACGGCCCAGACUCCUACGGGAGGCAGCAGUGGGGAAUAUUGGACAAGGGGCGAAAGCCUGAUCAAGCAAUGCCGCGUGAGUGAUGAAGGCCUUAGGGUUGUAAAGCUCUUUUACCCGGGAUGAUAAUGACAGUACCGGGAGAAUAAGCUCCGGCUAACUACGUG